UACAGAGGGUGCGAGCGUUAAUCGGAAUUACUGGGCGUAAAGCGUGCGCAGGCGGUGAUGUAAGACAGGUGUGAAAUCCCAGGGCUUAACCUUGGAAUUGCACUUGUGACUGUGCGGCUGGAGUGCGGCAGAGGGGGAUGGAAUUCCGCGUGUAGCAGUGAAAUGCGUAGAUAUGCGGAGGAACACCGAUGGCGAAGGCAGUCCCCUGGGCCUGCACUGACGCUCAUGCACGAAAGCGUCGGGGAGCAAACAGG
Molecule: ribosomal RNA, 254 nt
Filed under: uncultured bacterium
Lineage: Bacteria
Description: partial 16S ribosomal RNA
Rfam family: Bacterial small subunit ribosomal RNA
Source: RNAcentral